This 1652-nucleotide ribosomal RNA is filed under the name human gut metagenome. RNAcentral describes it as "bacterial LSU rRNA". It matches the Rfam family "Bacterial large subunit ribosomal RNA", at positions 828 to 2495 of the family's 2925-position model. The record is from RNAcentral.
UCCAAUCGAACCCGGAGAUAGCUGGUUCUCCCCGAAAUAGCUUUAGGGCUAGCGUCGAGAGAAGAGUUGCGUGAAGGUAGAGCACUGAAUAUGUGAUGGCCCCAUCUCGGGGUACUGAGCAUAAUCAAACUGCGAAUGUCACGCCAACAUGCUCGGCAGUCAGACAGCGGGUGAUAAGGUCCGUUGUCAAGAGGGAAACAGCCCAGACCAUCAGCUAAGGUCCCAAAAUGUAUGCUAAGUGGAAAAGGAUGUGGAGAUGUACAGACAACUAGGAGGUUGGCUCAGAAGCAGCCAUCCUUUAAAGAGUGCGUAACAGCUCACUAGUCGAAUGACUCUGCGCCGAUAAUUUACCGGGGCUAAGCAUACUACCGAAGCUAUGGAUCCCAAGGGAUGGUAGGGGAGCGUUCCAUGAACGGAGAAGUACGACCGAAAGGACGUGUGGAGAUCAUGGAAGAGAGAAUGCCGGUGUGAGUAGCGGAACGUGGGUGAGAAUCCCACGCACCGAAAACCCAAGGUUUCCAGAGGAAGGUUCGUCCGCUCUGGGUAAGUCGGGACCUAAGGCGAGGCCGAAAGGCGUAGUCGAUGGACAACAGGUAGAGAUUCCUGUACCCGUAUAUAUGUGAAGGAAUGACGGAGAGAGGAAGCUGCAGCCAGCGGCUGGAAGAGCUGGUGCAAGCGAGAUAUCGGGAUGGCAGGCAAAUCCACCAUCCGAAACGAGAAGGCGUGAAGCGUACGGAAAGCUACGGCGAGUACGGAAGGCAGUGGAGGAACUUCCAAGAAAAGUUUCUAACGUUAAGUAUAUAUGGCCCGUACCGAAAAUGGACACACAUGGGUGAGGAGAGAAUCCUAAGGUGAGCGAGAGAACUAUAGCUAAGGAACUCUGCAAAAUGACUCCGUAACUUAGGGAGAAGGAGUGCUCAUAGAGAUAUGAGCCGCAGUGAAACGGCCCAAGCGACUGUUUACCAAAAACACAGCUCUCUGCUAAGCCGCAAGGCGAAGUAUAGGGGGUGACGCCUGCCCGGUGCUGGAAGGUUAAGGGGAGGGGUUAACGCAAGUGAAGCCCUGAACUGAAGCCCCAGUAAACGGCGGCCGUAACUAUAACGGUCCUAAGGUAGCGAAAUUCCUUGUCAGGUAAGUUCUGACCCGCACGAAAGGCGUAACGAUUUGGGCGCUGUCUCAGCUGUAGACUCGGUGAAGUCUUAGUACCUGUGAAGAUGCAGGUUACCCGCGACUAGACGGAAAGACCCCAUGGAGCUUCACUGCAGGUUGAUAUUGGGAUUUGAUGCAGCAUGUACAGGAUAGGUAGGAGGCAAAGAGAUGGAUACGCCAGUAUUCAAGGAGCCGCUGUUGGGAUACUACCCCUGUUGUAUUGGAUUUCUAACCGGACGACGUAGAGCCGUUGACGGGACAGUGUCAGUCGGGCAGUUUGACUGGGGCGGUCGCCUCCCAAAGAGUAACGGAGGCGCCCAAAGAUACCCUCAGCUUGGAUGGAAACCAAGCGCAGAGUGCAAAGGCAAAAGGGUGUUUGACUGCGAGACCUACAAGUCGAGCAGGGACGAAAGUCGGGCUUAGUGAUCCGGCGGUGCUGAAUGGAAAGGCCGUCGCUCAACGGAUAAAAGCUACCCUGGGGAUAACAGGCUGAUCUCCCCCAA